UUCUGUGGCCCCGCCCCCCUGCGCCAAGCAGGCGCUCGGGUUACGUCACGCUGGGUGCGACUUCAGACUAGCAGAGGGUUCUUCUCCAGAUAGAUGUUUCCCAAAUGGGAGCUCCAGCCCCGGGCAGGCUUCUGGCGUGGAGACAUAACGGUGACGCGAAGGAAAAGCGAUGUGAGAAGAGCGGAGGGAAGCGGGCGGAGGUGUCUAAGGGAGAGUCCAUCCCUGGCCAAGCGGCCAGACAUCUAUCCCUACAGCCCCACCCUGAAGCUAAAGUUGGCUGCAGCAUUUCCUCCGAAGUUUAAGCUGCAUACUGCCAGUAACCCUUUAUAAAAACGACGGCCGAGUGGCUUGGCACGCUUUGGAUUCCUGGAUCGUUUUGGCUAGGAAUUGAACCCAGGGCCUUGUUCAUACUAGGAAAGAACUCCACCACUGUUGUUCGUAACUCCAGCUUCAGGAGGUCUGGCACCCUAUACUCACCUCCAUGGACAUCUGUACACACGUGACAUGCACGAAUACAUACAUAUAAAUAAAAAUAAAAAAUAAAUUGAAAAGAAGAGAAUUCUGUGGCCAGUGUGCUCUCUCCAUUGGAACUAUAAUAUCCUGUGGAAUCUCCUGAGACUGUACAAGUGGUUGUUUUGCUUUGCCUUCACACCAUUAGAGACAAUCAUGAAGCCAGAAGAGUGACUCACAGCUAACAAAUUAUGACAUGGAAUGAACAAAUAUCUGAUUGCUUAACCAGAGUUGGAAUAGACAUUAUGCUAAGACAUUGAUUCCAGUUGUGUGUGAAUAUGUGUGUCCACAUGUACCCAUGCAUGUAUGCACGUGUGGAAUGAAUUAACAUGAAAAUCAUACAUCUGACAUUUUAUAGUUUUCAAACUUACAAAUAAAUUUGGAAAAACAUUGAUCUGAAGUGUUGUGUCUUCCCUGAAAUGAAUGAUUAUUCCAUGGGUUAAAUGAACUAGCCAAGCCUGAUUUCUAUUUCCCAUCCUAG
RNAcentral lists this long non-coding RNA (991 nucleotides) under Cricetulus griseus (Chinese hamster). Its description in RNAcentral is "lncRNA (ENSCGRG00015033142.1)". The record is from RNAcentral. Lineage: Eukaryota; Metazoa; Chordata; Mammalia; Rodentia; Cricetidae.